Culex quinquefasciatus (southern house mosquito) is the source of this 231-nucleotide long non-coding RNA. RefSeq lists it as uncharacterized. The transcript is spliced from 3 exons. NCBI's taxonomy places the organism in Eukaryota, Metazoa, Arthropoda, Insecta, Diptera, Culicidae. The record is from RefSeq and is a predicted model, not a curated record.
CAACAAUUCACCAUCCAAACUAAACGCAAAGGACCGCGCUCAACGUCAAAAGAGGUCGUUUGGUUGGUGGUGCAUGGAGUGUCACAAAUAGUGAACCUCCAAGUUGGCAAAGCGCGCCAACCCGAGAAUUCUGUAGAGCGCAAUGGCGGAGGCCAUCCGGCCUGGCCGGAGGAAGAUCCUCCGACUUGACUCGACCACCGCGGGAUACACUAGAACACACGAACACACACA